RNAcentral lists this ribosomal RNA (1380 nucleotides) under uncultured bacterium. RNAcentral's name for it is "16S ribosomal RNA". It matches the Rfam family "Bacterial small subunit ribosomal RNA". The record is from RNAcentral.
UUCGCCCUUAGAGUUUGAUCCUGGCUCAGGACGAACGCUGGCGGCGCGCCUAACACAUGCAAGUCGAACGAGAGAGAGGGAGCUUGCUUCCUCAAUCGAGUGGCGAACGGGUGAGUAACGCGUGAGGAACCUGCCUCAAAGAGGGGGACAACAGUUGGAAACGACUGCUAAUACCGCAUAAGCCCACAGGUCGGCAUCGACCAGAGGGAAAAGGAGCAAUCCGCUUUGAGAUGGCCUCGCGUCCGAUUAGCUAGUUGGUGAGGUAACGGCCCACCAAGGCAACGAUCGGUAGCCGGACUGAGAGGUUGAACGGCCACAUUGGGACUGAGACACGGCCCAGACUCCUACGGGAGGCAGCAGUGGGGAAUAUUGCACAAUGGGGGAAACCCUGAUGCAGCGACGCCGCGUGGAGGAAGAAGGUCUUCGGAUUGUAAACUCCUGUUGUUGAGGAAGAUAAUGACGGUACUCAACAAGGAAGUGACGGCUAACUACGUGCCAGCAGCCGCGGUAAAACGUAGGUCACAAGCGUUGUCCGGAAUUACUGGGUGUAAAGGGAGCGCAGGCGGGAAGACAAGUUGGAAGUGAAAUCUAUGGGCUCAACCCAUAAACUGCUUUCAAAACUGUUUUUCUUGAGUAGUGCAGAGGUAGGCGGAAUUCCCGGUGUAGCGGUGGAAUGCGUAGAUAUCGGGAGGAACACCAGUGGCGAAGGCGGCCUACUGGGCACCAACUGACGCUGAGGCUCGAAAGUGUGGGUAGCAAACAGGAUUAGAUACCCUGGUAGUCCACACCGUAAACGAUGAUUACUAGGUGUGGGAGGAUUGACCCCUUCAGUGCCGCAGUUAACACAAAUAAGUAAUCCACCUGGGGAGUACGACCGCAAGGUUGAAACUCAAAGGAAUUGACGGGGGCCCGCACAAGCAGUGGAGUAUGUGGUUUAAUUCGACGCAACGCGAAGAACCUUACCAAGUCUUGACAUCCUGCGACGAUGCUGGAAACAGUAUUUUCCUUCGGGACGCAGAGACAGGUGGUGCAUGGUUGUCGUCAGCUCGUGUCGUGAGAUGUUGGGUUAAGUCCCGCAACGAGCGCAACCCUUACUGUCAGUUACUACGCAAGAGGACUCUGGCAGGACUGCCGUUGACAAAACGGAGGAAGGUGGGGAUGACGUCAAAUCAUCAUGCCCUUUAUGACUUGGGCUACACACGUACUACAAUGGCGUUAAACAAAGAGAAGCAAGACCGCGAGGUGGAGCAAAACUCAGAAACAACGUCCCAGUUCGGACUGCAGGCUGCAACUCGCCUGCACGAAGUCGGAAUUGCUAGUAAUCGUGGAUCAGCAUGCCACGGUGAAUACGUUCCCGGGCCUUGUACUCACCGCCCGUCA